RNAcentral lists this transfer RNA (99 nucleotides) under Fibroporia radiculosa. It matches the Rfam family "tRNA". From Rfam's summary of the family: Transfer RNA (tRNA) molecules are approximately 80 nucleotides in length. Their secondary structure includes four short double-helical elements and three loops (D, anti-codon, and T loops). Lineage: Eukaryota; Fungi; Basidiomycota; Agaricomycetes; Polyporales; Fibroporiaceae. The record is from Rfam by way of RNAcentral.
GGCCGACUGGCGAAAUGGCAUCGCGUCUGACUACGACUAAGAGGGUGGGACCACCACAUUGUAAUCAGGAGAUUGCAGGUUCGACCCCUGCGUCGGUCA